UGGGCUCUAAGACCACAUGAGAAAGCAUAAGUCAUUGUACAAAUGAAUUUGAUGUUGUGAAGUGUCUUGCUACCGGGGAAGUAUGCUCAUUGAUAUCACGAUGUCAUCCAUGACUCGCAAUGCGAACAUUCGCUACAAGGUUUCUCCAAGUAGUGCUGGAAAUCGAGUCCUGAAAGGGUAUUAUGGAAAAAAGAACAACAAAAUUGAAAAACAAAAAAAAAUGAAGGCAAUCUUGAGUCACUUGUCUUUCUUGCAAAUCGUCAAACUCUUGUUUUUCGAAAAUGGAAAAAAAAAGGGAACAAAAAAAAUGAUGAAUCAAAAAACAAAAGUGGCAAUGUCAUACUUUUCCAAGGUCAAGUGUUUAAUAAAAAAU
Molecule: long non-coding RNA, 373 nt
Filed under: Vigna radiata
Lineage: Eukaryota; Viridiplantae; Streptophyta; Magnoliopsida; Fabales; Fabaceae
Description: long non-coding RNA (VRAD_LNC004907)
Source: RNAcentral